RNAcentral lists this transfer RNA (74 nucleotides) under Compsopogon caeruleus. RNAcentral describes it as "tRNA-Asn". It matches the Rfam family "tRNA". From Rfam's summary of the family: Transfer RNA (tRNA) molecules are approximately 80 nucleotides in length. Their secondary structure includes four short double-helical elements and three loops (D, anti-codon, and T loops). Lineage: Eukaryota; Rhodophyta; Compsopogonophyceae; Compsopogonales; Compsopogonaceae. The record is from RNAcentral.
UCCUUAAUAGCUCAAUUGGUGAGAGCGCGUGGCUGUUAACCACGAGGUCUUAGGUUCAAGUCCUAAUUAAGGAG